Molecule: ribosomal RNA, 2903 nt
Filed under: Klebsiella aerogenes MGH 78
Lineage: Bacteria; Pseudomonadati; Pseudomonadota; Gammaproteobacteria; Enterobacterales; Enterobacteriaceae
Description: bacterial LSU rRNA
Rfam family: Bacterial large subunit ribosomal RNA
Source: RNAcentral
UUAAGCGACUAAGCGUACACGGUGGAUGCCCUGGCAGUCAGAGGCGAUGAAGGACGUGCUAAUCUGCGAAAAGCGUCGGUAAGGUGAUAUGAACCGUUACAGCCGGCGAUGUCCGAAUGGGGAAACCCAGUGUGAUUCGUCACACUAUCGUUAACUGAAUACAUAGGUUAACGAGGCGAACCGGGGGAACUGAAACAUCUAAGUACCCCGAGGAAAAGAAAUCAACCGAGAUUCCCCCAGUAGCGGCGAGCGAACGGGGAGCAGCCCAGAGUCUGAAUCAGCUUGUGUGUUAGUGGAACGGUCUGGAAAGUCCGACGGUACAGGGUGAUAGUCUCGUACACCAAAAUGCACAGGUUGUGAACUCGAAGAGUAGGGCGGGACACGUGGUAUCCUGUCUGAAUAUGGGGGGACCAUCCUCCAAGGCUAAAUACUCCUGACUGACCGAUAGUGAACCAGUACCGUGAGGGAAAGGCGAAAAGAACCCCGGCGAGGGGAGUGAAAAAGAACCUGAAACCGUGUACGUACAAGCAGUGGGAGCACCUUCGGGUGUGACUGCGUACCUUUUGUAUAAUGGGUCAGCGACUUAUAUUCUGUAGCAAGGUUAACCGUAUAGGGGAGCCGCAGGGAAACCGAGUCUUAACUGGGCGUUAAGUUGCAGGGUAUAGACCCGAAACCCGGUGAUCUAGCCAUGGGCAGGUUGAAGGUUGGGUAACACUAACUGGAGGACCGAACCGACUAAUGUUGAAAAAUUAGCGGAUGACUUGUGGCUGGGGGUGAAAGGCCAAUCAAACCGGGAGAUAGCUGGUUCUCCCCGAAAGCUAUUUAGGUAGCGCCUCGUGAAUUCAUCUUCGGGGGUAGAGCACUGUUUCGGCUAGGGGGUCAUCCCGACUUACCAACCCGAUGCAAACUACGAAUACCGAAGAAUGUUAUCACGGGAGACACACGGCGGGUGCUAACGUCCGUCGUGAAGAGGGAAACAACCCAGACCGCCAGCUAAGGUCCCAAAGUCACAGUUAAGUGGGAAACGAUGUGGGAAGGCACAGACAGCCAGGAUGUUGGCUUAGAAGCAGCCAUCAUUUAAAGAAAGCGUAAUAGCUCACUGGUCGAGUCGGCCUGCGCGGAAGAUGUAACGGGGCUAAACUGUGCACCGAAGCUGCGGCAGCGACACUAUGUGUUGUUGGGUAGGGGAGCGUUCUGUAAGCCUGCGAAGGUGGCCUGUGAGGGUUGCUGGAGGUAUCAGAAGUGCGAAUGCUGACAUAAGUAACGAUAAUGCGGGUGAAAAGCCCGCACGCCGGAAGACCAAGGGUUCCUGUCCAACGUUAAUCGGGGCAGGGUGAGUCGACCCCUAAGGCGAGGCCGAAAGGCGUAGUCGAUGGGAAACAGGUUAAUAUUCCUGUACUUGGUGUUACUGCGAAGGGGGGACGGAGAAGGCUAUGUUAGCCGGGCGACGGUUGUCCCGGUUUAAGCAUGUAGGCGGAGGUUCCAGGUAAAUCCGGUACCUUUUUAACGCUGAGGUGUGAUGACGAGGCACUACGGUGCUGAAGUAACAAAUGCCCUGCUUCCAGGAAAAGCCUCUAAGCAUCAGGUAACAUUGAAUCGUACCCCAAACCGACACAGGUGGUCAGGUAGAGAAUACCAAGGCGCUUGAGAGAACUCGGGUGAAGGAACUAGGCAAAAUGGUGCCGUAACUUCGGGAGAAGGCACGCUGAUAUGUAGGUGAAGCCCCUGCGGGUGGAGCUGAAAUCAGUCGAAGAUACCAGCUGGCUGCAACUGUUUAUUAAAAACACAGCACUGUGCAAACACGAAAGUGGACGUAUACGGUGUGACGCCUGCCCGGUGCCGGAAGGUUAAUUGAUGGGGUUAUCCGUAAGGAGAAGCUCUUGAUCGAAGCCCCGGUAAACGGCGGCCGUAACUAUAACGGUCCUAAGGUAGCGAAAUUCCUUGUCGGGUAAGUUCCGACCUGCACGAAUGGCGUAAUGAUGGCCAGGCUGUCUCCACCCGAGACUCAGUGAAAUUGAACUCGCUGUGAAGAUGCAGUGUACCCGCGGCAAGACGGAAAGACCCCGUGAACCUUUACUAUAGCUUGACACUGAACAUUGAGCCUUGAUGUGUAGGAUAGGUGGGAGGCUUUGAAGCGUGGACGCCAGUCUGCGUGGAGCCAACCUUGAAAUACCACCCUUUAAUGUUUGAUGUUCUAACGUUGGCCCCUUAUCGGGGUUGCGGACAGUGUCUGGUGGGUAGUUUGACUGGGGCGGUCUCCUCCCAAAGAGUAACGGAGGAGCACGAAGGUUAGCUAAUCCUGGUCGGACAUCAGGAGGUUAGUGCAAUGGCAUAAGCUAGCUUGACUGCGAGCGUGACGGCGCGAGCAGGUGCGAAAGCAGGUCAUAGUGAUCCGGUGGUUCUGAAUGGAAGGGCCAUCGCUCAACGGAUAAAAGGUACUCCGGGGAUAACAGGCUGAUACCGCCCAAGAGUUCAUAUCGACGGCGGUGUUUGGCACCUCGAUGUCGGCUCAUCACAUCCUGGGGCUGAAGUAGGUCCCAAGGGUAUGGCUGUUCGCCAUUUAAAGUGGUACGCGAGCUGGGUUUAGAACGUCGUGAGACAGUUCGGUCCCUAUCUGCCGUGGGCGCUGGAGAAUUGAGGGGGGCUGCUCCUAGUACGAGAGGACCGGAGUGGACGCAUCACUGGUGUUCGGGUUGUCAUGCCAAUGGCAUUGCCCGGUAGCUAAAUGCGGAAGAGAUAAGUGCUGAAAGCAUCUAAGCACGAAACUUGCCCCGAGAUGAGUUCUCCCUGAGACUUUAAGUCUCCUGAAGGAACGUUAAAGACGAUGACGUUGAUAGGUCGGGUGUGUAAGCGUAGCGAUACGUUGAGCUAACCGAUACUAAUGAACCGUGAGGCUUAACCUU